CCUACGGGUGGCAGCAGUGGGGAAUAUUGGGCAAUGGAGGCAACUCUGACCCAGCAAUGCCGCGUGAGUGAUGACGGUAAUUUUAUUUUAAAGCUCUUUUCUUUGUAACGAAUAAAUGACUGUACCAAAGGAAUAAGCACCGGCUAACUACGUGCCAGCAGCGGCGGUCAUACGUAGGGGGCAAGCGUUGUUCGGAAUGAAUGGGCGUAAAGGGUGUGUAGGUGGUUUGAUAAGUUAGAUGUGUAAUACCCAGGGCUUAACUCGGGUGCUGCAUCUAAAACGGUUAGACUUGAGUACUGGAGAGGAUAGUGGAAUUCAUAGGGGAGCGGUGGAAUGCGUAGAUAUUAGGAGGAACAUCAGUGGCGAAGGCGACUAUCUGGACAGCAACUGACACUGAGGCACGAAAGCGUGGGGAGCAAACAGGAUUAGAUACCCGAGUAGUC
RNAcentral lists this ribosomal RNA (443 nucleotides) under uncultured bacterium. RNAcentral's name for it is "partial 16S ribosomal RNA". It matches the Rfam family "Bacterial small subunit ribosomal RNA", at positions 338 to 795 of the family's 1533-position model. The record is from RNAcentral.